AGAGUUUGAUCCUGGCUCAGGACGAACGCUGGCGGCGUGCCUAAUACAUGCAAGUAGGACGCACAGUUUAUACCGUAGCUUGCUACACCAUAGACUGUGAGUUGCGAACGGGUGAGUAACGCGUAGGUAACCUGCCUAUUAGAGGGGGAUAACUAUUGGAAACGAUAGCUAAUACCGCAUAACAGUAUGUAACACAUGUUAGAUGCUUGAAAGAUGCAAUUGCAUCGCUAGCAGAUGGACCUGCGUUGUAUUAGCUAGUAGGUAGGGUAAAGGCCUACCUAGGCAACGAUACAUAGCCGACCUGAGAGGGUGAUCGGCCACACUGGGACUGAGACACGGCCCAGACUCCUACGGGAGGCAGCAGUAGGGAAUCUUCGGCAAUGGGGGGAACCCUGACCGAGCAACGCCGCGUGAGUGAAGAAGGUUUUCGGAUCGUAAAGCUCUGUUGUUAAGGAAGAACGAGUGUGAGAAUGGAAAGUUCAUACUGUGACGGUACUUAACCAGAAAGGGACGGCUAACUACGUGCCAGCAGCCGCGGUAAUACGUAGGUCCCGAGCGUUGUCCGGAUUUAUUGGGCGUAAAGCGAGCGCAGGCGGUUAGAAAAGUCUGAAGUGAAAGGCAGUGGCUCAACCAUUGUAGGCUUUGGAAACUGUUUAACUUGAGUGCAGAAGGGGAGAGUGGAAUUCCAUGUGUAGCGGUGAAAUGCGUAGAUAUAUGGAGGAACACCGGUGGCGAAAGCGGCUCUCUGGUCUGUAACUGACGCUGAGGCUCGAAAGCGUGGGGAGCGAACAGGAUUAGAUACCCUGGUAGUCCACGCCGUAAACGAUGAGUGCUAGGUGUUAGGUCCUUUCCGGGACUUAGUGCCGCAGCUAACGCAUUAAGCACUCCGCCUGGGGAGUACGACCGCAAGGUUGAAACUCAAAGGGAUUGACGGGGGCCCGGCACAGCGGUGGAGCAUGUGGUUUAAUUCGAAGCAACGCGAAGAA
RNAcentral lists this ribosomal RNA (986 nucleotides) under Streptococcus anginosus. Its description in RNAcentral is "bacterial SSU rRNA". It matches the Rfam family "Bacterial small subunit ribosomal RNA", at positions 8 to 968 of the family's 1533-position model. The record is from RNAcentral. Lineage: Bacteria; Bacillati; Bacillota; Bacilli; Lactobacillales; Streptococcaceae.